This 78-nucleotide ribozyme is filed under the name Ovis aries (sheep). RNAcentral describes it as "Mammalian CPEB3 ribozyme (ENSOARG00000022321.1)". It matches the Rfam family "Mammalian CPEB3 ribozyme". Rfam says of the family: The mammalian CPEB3 ribozyme is a self cleaving RNA located in the second intron of the CPEB3 gene which belongs to a family of genes regulating messenger RNA polyadenylation. The record is from Rfam by way of RNAcentral. Lineage: Eukaryota; Metazoa; Chordata; Mammalia; Artiodactyla; Bovidae.
AAAGGAUAACAAGGGGCCAGAGCAGAAGCAUUCACGUCGUGGCCCCUGUCAGAUUCUGGUGAAUCUGCGAAUUCUGCU